This 971-nucleotide ribosomal RNA is filed under the name Edwardsiidae environmental sample. RNAcentral describes it as "partial large subunit ribosomal RNA". It matches the Rfam family "Eukaryotic large subunit ribosomal RNA", at positions 81 to 856 of the family's 3401-position model. Lineage: Eukaryota; Metazoa; Cnidaria; Anthozoa; Actiniaria; Edwardsiidae. The record is from RNAcentral.
UAGUAAUGGCGAAUGAAGCGGGAACAGCUCAAAUUUGAAAUCUCCGUUGCUUGAACGGCGAAUUGUAGUUUCGAGAAGCACUUUCUCGGCGGAUCCGGAGUCGUCCAAGUUGCUUGGAACAGCACGUCGUAGAGGGUGACAACCCCGUCUGCGGCGAUUCCGGCCGUUCACGAUGUGCUUUCGACGAGUCGGGUUGUUUGGGAAUGCAGCCCAAAAUGGGUGGUAAACUCCAUCUAAAGCUAAAUAUUGGCACGAGACCGAUAGCGAACAAGUACCGUGAGGGAAAGAUGAAAAGCACUUUGAAAAGAGAGUUAAAAAGUACGUGAAACCGUUGAAAUGGAAACGAAUGGGGUUAGCAAUGCGCCACGCGAGAUUCAGCCGACCGGCGAGUCAGGCGAGUGGUUUGCGGAUCUGAAUGGACCGCUGCCGUUCGGUUUGGCCUUCCGACCGUCGCACUUCUCGCUGGCGCGCGCCAACGUCGGUUGGGACUGGGUUUGAAAGGCAGCGGAAAGGUAGGUUCGAACUCUUCGGAGUCAGAACUGUUAUAGUCCGCCGCUUGAUGGCCCGGGCCCGAUCGAGGAGCUUGCGGUGCAUGCCGUUCGGCUAGGGUCCCGUCGUUCCGGUUGGUUGUCGAAUGCGGUGGACUGCGUGCAGUGCAUCGCGACCGCUGCCGGUCGCGACGGCGGUGACCUCAUACGAUGCGCCCAGGACGUUGGCGGUCAUAUGGCCUCAUCCGACCCGUCUUGAAACACGGACCAAGGAGUCUAACAUGUGUGCGAGUCUUUGAGUGAACGAAACUCCGAGGCAGAAUGAAAGUGAAGGCGACUUCGGUCGCUGAGGUGAGAGCCCGGCUCGAAACGCAGUCGGGCGCAUCAUCGACCGACCUAUUCUACUCUUAGAAAGGUUUGAGUAAGAGCGCAUCUGUUGGGACCCGAAAGAUGGUGAACUAUGCCUGAAUAGGGGAAGCCAGA